GACGCUCAUAACCUAGCCCAACCUCCCCCCCCCCAUCAUCUACCUCCCCCCAAAAAAUAAAUAAAACAUUCUUCAUCUCUAGUAGAUGCGAUCAAAAAAGAAUUUGGAGCCACAUAUAUAGUACCGCAAGGGAAAAGUGAAAUAGAAAUUAAAUAAAUACUUAAGCUUAAAAAAGCAGAGACCCCAACUUGUACCUUUUGCAUUAUGGUCUAACUAGUCCAUCCAGGCAAAAAGAUUUUUAGUCUGAUUUCCCGAAACUAAGUGAGCUACUCCGAGGCAACCCUAAGAGUUAACCCAUCUCUGUGGCAAAAGAGUGGGAUGACCUCCGAGUAGAGGCGAUAUACCUAUCGAACUUAGUGAUAGCUGGUUACUCAAGAAAAGAAUUUUAGUUCAACCUUAAAGGAACUUAGCCUCUUCUUCCUCGACAAGCACCCUUAAUCCUUUAAGAUCUAUUCAAUAAGGGUACAGCCUUAUUGAAAAAGGAUACAACCUAAAACUCAGGUUAAUGAUAUUUUCCUAAAACAGGAGCUGUUGGCUUAAGAGCAGCCACCUUUUAAAUAGCGUCAAAGCUUUCUCCUUAACAAUACUUAAUUCCUAAAUCUUCUCAGAACCCGAUUUUAAUAUUGAGUCUUUCUAUACCCCUAUAGAAGUGUUUAUGUUAGAACUAGUAACACAGAAUUAUUUCUCUCUAUGUAAGUGUAAAUCAGAUUGAAUACAUCACUGAUAAUUAUUCAGUAAUGAAAACAAUGUAGCAACUUGACUAGAAAACCCUACUGUCUUUACUGUUAACCUAACACAAGAACAUAAGAAAAAGAUUUAAAGACAAAGAAGGAAUUCGGCAAAUACGGAUCCCGCCUGUUUACCAAAAACAUCGCCUUUUGCACAAUAUAAAAGGUAGUGCCUGCCCAGUGACUCAGUGUUCAACGGCCGUGGUAUUUUGACCACGCAAAGGUAGCGUAAUCACUUGUUUUUUAAUUAAAGACUUGUAUGAACGGCUUCACGAGGACCCAACUGUCUCCUCUGUCUAAUCAGUGAAACUGAUCUCCUCGUGCAGAAGCGAGGAUAAUCGCAUAAGACGAGAAGACCCUAUGGAGCUUUAAACUAAUAUCAACAAUUUUAUUACUCCUUCUUUACUGAAUUAAUACUUAACUAAAUCUGCUUGAUAAAAGUUUUAGGUUGGGGCGACCAUGGAGAAAAAAAAAUCCUCCCUGAUGAUUUCUUAACUGAGAGCUUCAGCUCUAAGUAUUAAAAUACUUAACUUCUAUUGACCCAUUAUAUGAUCAACGAACCAAGUUACCCUAGGGAUAACAGCGCAAUCCAUUUCAAGAGUCCCUAUCGACAAAUGGGUUUACGACCUCGAUGUUGGAUCAGGGCACCCAAG
This 1381-nucleotide ribosomal RNA is filed under the name Megophrys microstoma (narrow-mouthed horned toad). RNAcentral describes it as "partial 16S ribosomal RNA". It matches the Rfam family "Bacterial large subunit ribosomal RNA", at positions 181 to 2550 of the family's 2925-position model. The record is from RNAcentral. Lineage: Eukaryota; Metazoa; Chordata; Amphibia; Anura; Megophryidae.